Molecule: ribosomal RNA, 497 nt
Filed under: uncultured bacterium
Lineage: Bacteria
Description: partial 16S ribosomal RNA
Rfam family: Bacterial small subunit ribosomal RNA
Source: RNAcentral
GAUGAACGCUGGCGGCGUGCCUAAUACAUGCAAGUCGAGCGAACAGAUGAGGAGCUUGCUCCUCUGACGUUAGCGGCGGACGGGUGAGUAACACGUGGAUAACCUACCUAUAAGACUGGGAUAACUUCGGGAAACCGGAGCUAAUACCGGAUAAUAUAUUGAACCGCAUGGUUCAAUAGUGAAAGACGGUUUUGCUGUCACUUAUAGAUGGAUCCGCGCCGCAUUAGCUAGUUGGUAAGGUAACGGCUUACCAAGGCAACGAUGCGUAGCCGACCGGAGAGGGUGAUCGGCCACACGGGAACGGAACCACGGUCCAGACUCCUACGGGAGGCAGCAGUAGGGAAUCUUCCGCAAUGGGCGAAAGCCUGACGGAGCAACGCCGCGUGAGUGAUGAAGGUCUUCGGAUCGUAAAACUCUGUUAUUAGGGAAGAACAAAUGUGUAAGUAACUAUGCACGUCUUGACGGUACCUAAUCAGAAAGCCACGGCUAACUACGUG